Molecule: ribosomal RNA, 414 nt
Filed under: uncultured microorganism
Description: bacterial SSU rRNA
Rfam family: Archaeal small subunit ribosomal RNA
Source: RNAcentral
CAGCCGCCGCGGUAAUACCGGCGGCCCGAGUGGCGGCCACUAUUAUUGGGCCUAAAGCGUCCGUAGCCGGGCUGGUAAGUCCUCCGGGAAAUCUGGUCGCUUAACGAUCAGACUUCCGGAGGAUACUGCUGGCCUAGGGACCGGGAGAGGCCGAGGGGAUUCCCGGGGUAGGGGUGAAAUCCUGUAAUCCCGGGAGGACCACCUGUGGCGAAGGCGCUCGGCUGGAACGGGUCCGACGGUGAGGGACGAAGGCCAGGGGAGCGAACCGGAUUAGAUACCCGGGUAGUCCUGGCGGUAAACGAUGCGGACUAGGUGUCGGGCAAGCUAAGGGCUUGUCCGGUGCCGCAGGGAAGCCGUUAAGUCCGCCGCCUGGGGAGUACGGCCGCAAGGCUGAAACUUAAAGGAAUUGGCGGG